GAUGAAGAACGUAGCGAAAUGCGAUAAGUAGUGUGAAUUGCAGAAUUCAGUGAAUCAUCGAAUCUUUGAACGCACAUUGCGCCCUUUGGUAUUCCUUAGGGCAUGCCUGUUCGAGCGUCAUUUAAACCUUCAAGCUCAGCUUGGUGUUGGGUGACUGUCCGCCGCCUCCGGGCGCGUGGACUCGCCUCAAAAUUAUUGGCGGCCGGUACAUUGGCUUCGAGCGCAGCAGAAACGCGAACUCGGGCCCGUCGUAUUGGCUCCCAGAAGCUAUCUUCACAAUUUUGACCUCGCAUCAGGUAGGGAUACCCGCUGAACUUAAGCAUAUCAAUAAGCGGAGGA
Molecule: unclassified non-coding RNA, 339 nt
Filed under: soil metagenome
Description: partial contains 5.8S ribosomal RNA, internal transcribed spacer 2, and large subunit ribosomal RNA
Rfam family: 5.8S ribosomal RNA (bases 1-120)
Source: RNAcentral